GAAUUCUAUUCUUUCAAAUCUUA
This 23-nucleotide transfer RNA is filed under the name Paguristes turgidus. RNAcentral describes it as "partial tRNA-Trp". The record is from RNAcentral. Lineage: Eukaryota; Metazoa; Arthropoda; Malacostraca; Decapoda; Diogenidae.